GAUGAACGCUGGCGGCGUGCCUAAUACAUGCAAGUCGAGCGAACAGACGAGGAGCUUGCUCCUCUGACGUUAGCGGCGGACGGGUGAGUAACACGUGGAUAACCUACCUAUAAGACUGGGAUAACUUCGGGAGACCGGAGCUAAUACCGGAUAAUAUAUUGAACCGCAUGGUUCAAUAGUGAAAGACGGUUUUGCUGUCACUUAUAGAUGGAUCCGCGCCGCAUUAGCUAGUUGGUAAGGUAACGGCUUACCAAGGCAACGAUGCGUAGCCGACCUGAGAGGAUGAUCAGCCACACUGGAACUGAGACACGGUCCAGACUCCUACGGGAGGCAGCAGUAGGGAAUAUUCCGCAAUGGGCGAAAGCCUGACGGAGCAACGCCGCGUGAGUGAUGAAGGUCUUCGGAUCGUAAAACUCUGUUAUUAGGGAAGAACAAAUGUGUAAGUAACUAUGCACGUCUUGACGGUACCUAAUCAGAAAGCCACGGCUAACUACGUG
Molecule: ribosomal RNA, 497 nt
Filed under: uncultured bacterium
Lineage: Bacteria
Description: partial 16S ribosomal RNA
Rfam family: Bacterial small subunit ribosomal RNA
Source: RNAcentral